GCCAACAGAAGAGGAGAGCAUUUGCUGUGUGGACUGGGACUUGUUGAUGCCACCACUGGAGGAUCUAAAUAUCUCCACUGAUGAGACCGAGAGCACUAGCCAAAGACUUUGUGUCACCCAAAACACGGAUUAUCCACCAUUACUGACCCGUGGCGUUCUGGAGAUGUUUUUCCAUGUGCCCAAAAUCAAUUGGAAAAAGAGGCCAAGACCCGCAGGACCAAACAACACGCUCUCUGCAGAUCAGUACAGGUUGGUGGCCUACCGUGUGGUACUCGAGUGGAUUCUGAAAGGCGAGAGACUUGGCAAGGACAGCAGAAGAGUUUUACCUGCCUGUAUUGUUACAAGCAUCCGUUCCAGCUACCCUUCACCAGAUGGAGUGUAUACUGGUUUCAAGGAGGCAGAGGCAGCUUUUGAACAGUUGUAAAGACUAUAAACAAAUCCUAAGAGACUCUUCCAUAUUAAUUUGUACUACUUCAUUGUAUUUCAUAUUUUUUCCCAAAUCACAAACCUAUACUGCCUCAUUAUAGAUAUCAUUUCAGAAUUUAUGUAGCCGAUAACUGUAACCUUUCCUGUACUAUUGUGUUGUUUUGGAAAUAAACAAAAUGACUUUGGAUGGUAA
This is a long non-coding RNA of Cyprinodon tularosa, 619 nucleotides long. RefSeq lists it as uncharacterized. The record is from RefSeq and is a predicted model, not a curated record. The transcript has 2 exons. Lineage: Eukaryota; Metazoa; Chordata; Actinopteri; Cyprinodontiformes; Cyprinodontidae.